This 605-nucleotide ribosomal RNA is filed under the name uncultured Cryobacterium sp. Its description in RNAcentral is "bacterial SSU rRNA". It matches the Rfam family "Bacterial small subunit ribosomal RNA", at positions 9 to 626 of the family's 1533-position model. Lineage: Bacteria; Bacillati; Actinomycetota; Actinomycetes; Micrococcales; Microbacteriaceae. The record is from RNAcentral.
GAGUUUGAUCCUGGCUCAGGACGAACGCUGGCGGCGUGCUUAACACAUGCAAGUCGAACGAUGAAGCUGGAGCUUGCUCCGGCGGAUUAGUGGCGAACGGGUGAGUAACACGUGAGCAAUCUGCCCUUCACUCUGGGAUAACUGCGGGAAACUGUAGCUAAUACCGGAUACGAAGCCUUGGGGCAUCCCAGGGCUUGGAAAGAAUUUCGGUGAAGGAUGAGCUCGCGGCCUAUCAGCUAGUUGGUGAGGUAAUGGCUCACCAAGGCGACGACGGGUAGCCGGCCUGAGAGGGUGACCGGCCACACUGGGACUGAGACACGGCCCAGACUCCUACGGGAGGCAGCAGUGGGGAAUAUUGCACAAUGGGCGAAAGCCUGAUGCAGCAACGCCGCGUGAGGGAUGAAGGCCUUCGGGUUGUAAACCUCUUUUAGUAGGGAAGAAGCGCAAGUGACGGUACCUACAGAAAAAGCACCGGCUAACUACGUGCCAGCAGCCGCGGUAAUACGUAGGGUGCAAGCGUUGUCCGGAAUUAUUGGGCGUAAAGAGCUCGUAGGCGGUUUGUCGCGUCUGCUGUGAAAACCUGAAGCUCAACUUCAGGCCUGCAG